GGAAUGUUCAACCAUCACACCACCAACAUGUGCUGUUGUGGGCCAACAUAAUAAGACAGGAUGCAUUACUUUCAGAGCAGCAAGAUUAAACCAUGCAUGCAGCAGCCUUUGAAAACAACUCUACUUGUGGAAGACUAGGAAGAAUAAGGCAGUAUACAGAAAGUACAGCCAAAAAGUUGCACAUGUUGAAAACUAACAAAUUUUAGAGAGCAAGCUAGGAAUGGAAGCUACGAGAGUCCUUGACCAACACAUCAUCAGGAAAGUGGUAACAGAUAUCAUCCAACAAAGAAAGAAAGAUAUAGUAUUGAUUCUAAUAAUGAAAUGCUUCUGUUCAGUAUUAAAUAGUCACA
Long non-coding RNA from Numida meleagris (helmeted guineafowl), 350 nucleotides. RefSeq lists it as uncharacterized. Lineage: Eukaryota; Metazoa; Chordata; Aves; Galliformes; Numididae. The transcript is spliced from 3 exons. The record is from RefSeq and is a predicted model, not a curated record.